CCGACUCUUUGUGACCCCAUGGACUGUAGCCCACUAGGCUCCUCUGUCUCCGGGAUUCUCCAGGCAAGAACACCGGAGUGGGUUGCCAUUUCCUUCUCCAAACAUAUUGCUGGAGGAUUCUCCCAACAAGCCCGCACUUGGGCUCAGCAGAAGGGAGUCCACCCACCCUUGGCACCAGACGUAGACGAUCUGCUGGCAACCAACAGUCAGGUGCCAACUCCGGCCGUGGCUGAACAAAGCACCUCGGGGCAUGCAAUCUGACCUCAUGACGGCCCACCCCAGUUGACUGGCAGUUAGAUGGCCUCCUCUCCAAGAGAAAGGACUGGGUGCUGUACAUUCCUUCAUAUGGAGCGGCCGCCAUGCUAUGCUGUCAAAUCAACUUUGUUUUUAUUGAUCACAUAAUUUCACGUAUGUGAAAACAGGCACCGCACUUCAGGGGUUGUCGGUUACCAAAAAACAAAAAAGAAGAUAUCACAUUAAAUUCAAAAUUCAGAUAAAUAGCAAUAAAUUGUUUAGCAUAUGUAUGCCUCUGCUGCUGCUGCUGCUAAGUCGCUUCAGUCGUGUCCGACUCUGUGUCACCCCAUAGACGGCAGCCCUCCAGGCUCCCCUGUCCCUGGGAUUCUCCAGGCAAGAAUACUGGAGUGGGUUGCCAUUUCCUUCUCCAAUGCAUGAAAGUAAAAAGUGAAAGAGAAGUCGCUCAGUCAUGUCCGACUCUUAGCGACCACAUGGACUGCAGCCCACCAGGCUCCUCCGUCCACGGAUUUUCCAGGCAAGAGUACUGGAGUGGGGUGCCACUGCCUUCUCCAUAUGUAUACCUCACGCUCAAAUAAAAACCUGUUUCGCUGAAAUUCAGAUUUCACCAGGUGUCGUGUGUUUCAUCUGGCAG
Long non-coding RNA from Bos taurus (domestic cattle), 886 nucleotides. NCBI's taxonomy places the organism in Eukaryota, Metazoa, Chordata, Mammalia, Artiodactyla, Bovidae. The record is from Ensembl.